RNAcentral lists this long non-coding RNA (228 nucleotides) under Homo sapiens (human). RNAcentral's name for it is "HSALNT0213570". The record is from RNAcentral. Lineage: Eukaryota; Metazoa; Chordata; Mammalia; Primates; Hominidae.
CUCGGCUCGAGAAGGUGCUUUAGUCUGAAGAUGGCGGCCUCAGCAGCGAGAGGUGCUGCGGCGCUGCGUAGAAGUAUCAAUCAGCCGGUUGCUUUUGUGAGAAGAAUUCCUUGGACUGCGGCGUCGAGUCCAGGUUCACACUAGAAGGCCAAAACUUCCGCAAACAUCUGAUGAUGAAAAGAAAGAUUUUUGAGACUGCAGCCUAUUAAUAAAGUUAACAUAACUGAG